GGCCAGUUAGCUCAGUUGGUUAGAGUGUGGUGCUAAUAACGCCAAGGUCACAGGUUCGAUCCCUGUACGGGCCA
RNAcentral lists this transfer RNA (74 nucleotides) under Struthio camelus australis. It matches the Rfam family "tRNA". Rfam says of the family: Transfer RNA (tRNA) molecules are approximately 80 nucleotides in length. Their secondary structure includes four short double-helical elements and three loops (D, anti-codon, and T loops). Lineage: Eukaryota; Metazoa; Chordata; Aves; Struthioniformes; Struthionidae. The record is from Rfam by way of RNAcentral.